AUAUCAGAGUCAAAAUCGGAAUAAAGUCAGAUAUUAGCAUAAAUUAGAAGAAAUUGCGACUUCAGCUAUAUGAUGCGGAAUAUCCUGUUUUGAGACAUGGAAUAUGUAUAGCAAGCUAAUGUGUUUUAAAAAACUAAGUGUCAAAACGGAAACCAACUAAAAACAUACAAACAUAUGUAUAUAUAAAGCAUACAUACAUCUGGAGACAGCAAAAAGAGACACCGGAAAAAUUAAGAUAUUUCAAUCACCAGAAGCAGCGUCAAUGCUUAAUCGCACUCAUCAAUCAAGACAAGCGUUCAUAGUUCUGACACUGAAGGUACAGCGAACAUUUAACGUAGAGUGCGAAACUCUGUUGGUCCUCGGUACAUACUUCACCUUAAUGUUCUCGCUUAUAGUCAUAUUGACAGUGAGCAGCCGUUGAGAAUGAAAGGCGGAAUUUUUCUCUGAAAGGGAUAUACCCAUAAGUACUCAUAUUUUUUGCGAACACAUUAAUCAUGUACUCGUAGCACAUUACGCUUCGUCAGCAUUAGUUAACAAAUUGAUUGUAAUCAACUCCAUAUAACAAAUAUAAUAAUUGAACGUAAAGCGCAGGAAAAUUUACGACGCUUAUUUAAAUCAACACGAAAUUACUACACCAACAUAUACCAUACAUAUACAUAUUCAACAUGGGAGCGAAUUCGUCGAGCAGAUCGGAUGCAAGUCUUCUCAGCGAUGAAGAUGUCAAUUUUGACCAUUUUCAAAUAUUGCGGGCGAUUGGUAAAGGGAGCUUUGGCAAGGUGUGCAUCGUACAGAAACGUGAUAGUGGCAUACUCUAUGCCAUGAAAUAUGUCAGUCGGUCGGCGUGCGAGUCGCGUGGUGCCCUGGGUGGUGUUAUCAAAGAAGUGGAAUUGCUUGCCUCGCUGGAACACCCAUUUCUGGUGAAUCUGUGGUUUUCAUUUCAAGAUGAGGAGGAUUUAUUUAUGGUGUGUGAUUUGCUGACUGGCGGUGAUUUAAGGUAUCAUCUACAGAAUCGGGUGGAAUUCAGCGAAAAAAGUGUUGCCUUAUUAGUGUGUGAGUUGGGAAGUGCUUUAGAAUACUUGCAGAAGCAAAGAGUGGUGCAUAGGGAUAUCAAGCCAGAUAACAUUCUUUUGGAUGGUGCUGGACACGCACAUUUGACUGAUUUUAAUAUAGCUACAAGACUGCAAAAGGACGGACUUGCAUGCAGCAUGUCUGGAACCAAACCGUAUAUGGCGCCAGAGGUAUUCAUGUGUGCAUUAGAGGAAAUAGCGGGUUACAGUUUUCCGGUCGACUGGUGGUCUCUCGGUGUAGUUGCAUAUGAGAUGCGUGCCAAUGUGCGACCUUUUAUCGUGCAUUCGCAUACGGGAUUGGCGGAGGUAAAAAAUAUAUUAACAGCACCGGUGCACUAUCCACGUUAUUGGAGUCAUAAUUUCAUCGAUUUGCUGACAAAGCUGCUCUGUGUACAUCCCGGCGCACGUAUUAGCUCUCAGCAGGAGAUACAACAAACACCACUUCUACGACACACGGACUUCAAAAGUAUACUCGAGAAAACAACUAAACCACCAUUCAAGCCACCUGAGGAUCACCUUAAUUGUGAUCCUUGUUUAGAACUGGAGGAAAUGAUUGUCGAAACACGACCGCUGCAUAAGAAAAAGAAGCGUUUAGCCAAACAGCGAUCGGCACAACGUGACAGCGAUCCCGAAACGAUUCUCAUCAAGGAGUUUAUAGUUUACAAUCGGUAUAAAGAACUGAAACGAAAGGCUAUGGAAAAGAAAGAAAACGAUUGGCAGCGCGAACUCGAACACGCUAUGGCGAAUUCAAUCGUGACUAGUUUAGCGCCAAUCCAAGAGAAGCCAACGACGAUGCAUUUUAGUGGUGAUGGUGAUAACGACGAGAUUGUUGGUGUGACUACGACGGCGACGAAUGGAAAUAUUACAGCUAGCCACGCGUUGGCCGCAAAACCCAAUUCAUACGUGCCCAUUACUACAACAAUAAAUGCGUUAAGUAGUCACACGCUUUCCACACCAAAUACGAGUACAACCAUUCUGAGUGGAGCUACAGCGUUGCCACCGCUUUGUACGAAAUGCCAACAUCACAGCCCAAUAAUGGGAAUAACAACGCCGCCGCAGACCAAAAUUCAACUUUCAUCGAACAUAAAGGAUGGCGAAAUUAUUGAAUUUAUCGAUCGUACACCUUCACCGUCGACAUCAAACGCCGUUACGUUACGAACGCCAGUGAUGACAAGAAAAGCUGACGCAACAGCAAAUGCGAAUGUGGUGUAGACGAACUGUAGCGGCUAAUCAUAACUAGGUUAUACAGGAAAUAAAUGAAAAAACAUGAUUAUAUGUACGAUAAUUAAGUUCACCGAAUGAAGUAUUUGAAAAUAUAAAAUGGAAGUCUACUUUUAGGCACAACUUUUAUGCGAAAUGGAAGGCGCUUUCGUUAAAUUUCACUAAUAACCAUGUACCCGCUUAGCUCCUAUGCAUAAGUUGAAAUUACAAUAAAUGUGAAAAAACUCUAGCAGUCCUAGUUGCUUCGGUUAAAAAACCUUCCUAGAUCUUGAUAAUCUGACGGACAACAAUAAAACACCUUAAACGGGUUCAGCGUGCGACCCUCGGCCACGAGGUUAUAGCGAUAGUCUGAUUUGGCAGAUGAAAUUAUUAGUGGAAUAUAGGAAAAGAAAUCUUCGAAAGAAACAUCAACAAUUCUUUGUGUUCUUAAAUCCUUUAUAAACUGUUAUAGACUGAAAACUAUAUGGAUACUGAACGCGCCCAUUAACAGUUUAUUUUAAUGAGAGUACUUUUUCCUGAGGAGAAUAAAAUCAUUGAAAUUUUGAUAGUACAUUAUGAUUUUAAUGGUGUGAAAAAUAGCUGGGAUGAAAAUACGAACGUAAGAAAUGUGGAAAAAUUAAAAACAUAAUUAUAUAUACAUUACAUAGAAAGGAAGCAAAUAUAUAUUUUUUUUUUGUUUUAA
Bactrocera tryoni is the source of this 2970-nucleotide RNA transcript. It is a transcript of the gene named serine/threonine-protein kinase 32A, with no coding region annotated. The transcript is spliced from 11 exons. The record is from RefSeq and is a predicted model, not a curated record. Lineage: Eukaryota; Metazoa; Arthropoda; Insecta; Diptera; Tephritidae.